CCCCUAGUAACUGCGAGUGAAGCGGGAAAAGCUCAAAUUUAAAAUCUGGCGGUUGCACCGUCCGAGUUGUAAUCUGGAGAAGCGUUUUCCGUGUUGGACCGUGUACAAGUCCCUUGGAACGGGGCGUCAUAGAGGGUGAGAAUCCCGUCCAUGACACGGACUGCCAAUGCUUUGUGAUACGCUCUCGAAGAGUCGAGUUGUUUGGGAAUGCAGCUCAAAAUGGGUGGUAAAUUCCAUCUAAAGCUAAAUAUUGGCGAGAGACCGAUAGCGAACAAGUACCGUGAGGGAAAGAUGAAAAGCACUUUGGAAAGAGAGUUAAACAGUACGUGAAAUUGUUGAAAGGGAAACGCUUGGAGUCAGUCGCGUCUGUCGAGACUCAGCCUUGCCUUCGGGCUUGGUGUACUUCUCGGCCUGACGGGCCAACAUCGAUUUCGAACGGCGGAUAAAGGUCUGGGGAAGGUGGCACCUUCGGGUGUGUUAUAGCCCCUCUCCGUAUACGUCGUCUGGGAUCGAGGACCGCAGCACGCCCUUGUGGCUGGGGCCCUUUGCCCACAUAACGUGCUUAGGAUGUUGGCGUAAUGGCUUUAAGYGACCCGUCUUGAAACACGGACCAAGGAGUCUAACAUGCCCGCGAGUGUUAGGGUGUAAAACCCUUGCGCGUAAUGAAAGUGAAAGUUGGGACCUCUGUCGAGGAGGGCACCGACGCCCGGCCCUGAACUCUUGUGACGGUGCUGCGGUAGAGCGUGUAUGUUGGGACCCGAAAGAUGGUGAACUAUGCCUGAAUAGGGCGAAGCCAGAGGAAACUCUGGUGGAGGCUCGUAGCGAUUCUGACGUGCAAAUCGAUCGUCAAAUUUGGGUAUAGGGGCGAAAGACUAAUCGAACCAUCUAGU
This 890-nucleotide ribosomal RNA is filed under the name Oxyporus populinus. Its description in RNAcentral is "LSU rRNA". It matches the Rfam family "Eukaryotic large subunit ribosomal RNA", at positions 77 to 948 of the family's 3401-position model. The record is from RNAcentral. Lineage: Eukaryota; Fungi; Basidiomycota; Agaricomycetes; Hymenochaetales; Schizoporaceae.